RNAcentral lists this ribosomal RNA (497 nucleotides) under uncultured bacterium. Its description in RNAcentral is "partial 16S ribosomal RNA". It matches the Rfam family "Bacterial small subunit ribosomal RNA", at positions 28 to 507 of the family's 1533-position model. The record is from RNAcentral.
GAUGAACGCUGGCGGCGUGCCUAAUACAUGCAAGUAGAACGCUGACGGAAGAAGCUUGCUCUUUCCGGAUGAGUUGCGAACGGGUGAGUAACGCGUAGGUAACCUGCCUGGUAGCGGGGGAUAACUAUUGGAAACGAUAGCUAAUACCGCCUAACAGUAGCUGUUGCAUGAUAUCUACUUAAAAGGUGCAAUUGCCCCACUACCAGAUGGACCUGCGUUGUAUUAGCUAGUUGGUGAGGUAACGGCUCACCAAGGCGACGAUACAUAGCCGAGCUGAGAGGGUGAUCCGGCACACUGGGACUGGGGCACGGCCCAGACUUCUUAGGGAAGCAGCAGUAGGGAAACUUUGGCAAAGGACGGAAGUCUGACCGAGCAACGCCGCGGGAGUGAAGAAGGUUUUCGGAUCGGAAAGGUCCGUUGUAAGAGAAAAACGAGUGUGAGGGUGGAAAGUUCACGCUGUGACGGUAUCUUACCAGAAAGGGACGGCUAACUACGUG